GAAAUUACCUUUUUCUAGAAUUAUAGGAUUUUAAGGAAGAAUUUGAGUCAUCCCAUUUUGGAAAAUAAAUAUGCACUGUGAACAUGAAGCAAAAAUUGGAAGUAGAAAUUCAGUGAAGAUUUUCUGCUCAAACUUAUUAGAAAGGCUUAAUGAGGCUCCAAGCUCUGGAAGAAGCUCUCAGAAGACUACGCCAAGGGACUGGCAGGUGGAUUAGAUGAGAUGAUGAUCACACAUACUGAUUCUACCCUUAUUGGUGCAGGAGAAGGGAGAGAUGGAGGUCACAAAGAGCACCUGCA
This 296-nucleotide long non-coding RNA is filed under the name Fukomys damarensis (Damara mole-rat). RNAcentral describes it as "lncRNA (ENSFDAG00000023023.1)". The record is from RNAcentral. Lineage: Eukaryota; Metazoa; Chordata; Mammalia; Rodentia; Bathyergidae.